AGAGAAAAAGUGUGGAAAAUCAAGGAAAACAAGUGAAAAAGGUAGGAUUUUUCAACUUAAGCUUGAAAUNNNNNNNNNNNNNNNNNNNNNNNNNNNNNNNNNNNNNNNNNNNNNNNNNNNNNNNNNNNNNNNNNNNNNNNNNNNNNNNNNNNNNNNNNNNNNNNNNNNNNNNNNNNNNNNNNNNNNNNNNNNNNNNNNNNNNNNNNNNNNNNNNNNNNNNNNNNNNNNNNNUUAUGUUAGUAUUUUUAGUUAGUUUAGCAUAUUUAGAAACAAAAUAACAAGAAAAGAAUUUAUUUUCUCCCACAACCAUUAAUGGCCGAAUUGACCAUGUAUUGAGUGAGGAUGAGUUUAAUUUUUAUUCUAGGAGAAUUGGUUAAGAAAUGAUGAAUUAUGGUGUGGAAAAGUAGUAGGAAAAAUCACGGUGUUAAUGCACCAUUAUUGGCCAAAAAUUUUAAGAAGAAAAGUGAAGAUAGUUUUGCCAAAUUUUAGGUUAUUUGAUUUGAAUUUGGUGAAUUAAGAUAUUGGAAAAGAAUUGGAACGAUUUGGAGUAAUUUGGGAUUAAAUUGGACGAGUUAGUAAUUUAAUCGGGUGAUAAGAUGAAUUAGGCCAAUACCGAGUUUAGAUAGUUACCAGUGCAUUUUUGCAUUCCAUAUUAUUCAUUAAUAGUCUAAAUUAGUUUAAUUUCAAUUUAGUACCAAUUUGGUGAAUUUCUUGAUUUUGUACUGUGUCAAGGUGGUGAGUCCUCCGAUAAAGGCAAGGAAAUUGCAUCCGAUGACCAGUAGACAGAGUGCUUCGAAAGUCUGCAUUCUAGACAUUGUGAGUAAACUUACUAUCAUUUUAAUUAUCUAGGGUGAUUUUUAGAUGAUUUCAUUAAUUCUAUGGAAAAAUGGAUUUAAAAAGGUAAAUUUUCAUGUUUUAUAAAUAAAGGUGUUCCAAUGAAAUUAAAUUAAAAAUUGUUUUGAAAUUAAUAGUGAUUUUGAAAAAUAGAAUACACGGGACUGUUAAUUGUGACAAUUUGAUUGUUUAAAUUGAUUGGCUUAUGAUAAAUCGGGCAAGAUUGACUAGUUGGCAAUUGUAUUGAAAUACGAAUUGUUUGGUUGCCUUGAAAGACUACGAAUUACAAAAUUGCCAUAUCAUGUUAUUGAGUUUUAUUGUAUGGUGGAUUAUAUAUUAAUUAAUCAUUGCAGUAGGGAGUUUCUGUGAAUCAACCUUUUAGAGGGGCACGACAAACCCUAUUAUAUUCUUACCUCGAACGGAGAGGCGCGUAAGGUAUCUUCUGGGGUAAAGCUUAGGGUUCACUUCACGCCAAACCACCACGUGAGGGGGAACUCAGCCAAUGCCAAGGAAUGGCUAUGUUUUCAAAACAAAAACAUGAUUUAUGUGAAAUGUGAAUUUUAAUAGCAUUGGCGGUCUCGGUGGGAUGCCUCGGCCAAGGUGUUCUUGAGAAUGGAUUUAUGGCAUAAGCCUAAUUUUUAUGAGAUUCAUAAGCCUCUUUACGUAUUUUAAAUGAAAUGUAUUCUAAUGCCGUGACCCAGUUUACGAUGAUUUACUUUAUUAUCUCCAUGUACUCAACUCUAGAUGUUUAUGAUGAUGUUUGUUUACUCAUUGGGAUUUUAUAAUCUCACCACCCUCCUUUCCCCCCAUUUCAGGUUCAGUAUAGACUGUAGAUGGCUGAUCUCAUUGAGGACUACCGUUGGAUCUACAUUUUCCAAACCGUAGGUUCACAGUCCUCUUUACUUUUAUUUAUUCGGGGGCCCUCUUGUUAUUGUAAAUUAAAUUAAAUAUUUUGGCUUACUGUAUUACAGUAUGUAUAAAUUUAUUUAGCUUUUACACUAUAAAAAUUAUUCACGUAUAACUCUAUAAAUAUUGUUUUAUAAGAAAAUAGAAUAUUUUACUUAAUAUUUCUUUUAUUUUCUUAUUAUAUUCAAAUAACCAUAAUUUCUUUUUAAAUGAAGAUUUUAGACUUUUAAACUCAUUUUGAAUAUGAAUUAUGUGUUUUGUACUUGUAUAUUACGUUUUAGCCAAUUUCAAAAUUUUAUAGAAAAAUGACCAAAAUACCCCUGUGAGACGAAAAUUAAUAUUUUAUUUGUUUUUAGUUGGAAACAGUUUAAAAUCUUUUAGAACACAAUAUUUGAUAAUGGUUGCUCACAAGGGAAAUGAGAAACUGAUAGUAAAGCCUUGCGAGGUUUUGGGUUGACAUUCCGGGCAAUAAGUGUCUACCGAGACACCGCGGUGGUUGUCACGGGCUCGAGGGGAGUACCAGGUCGUGACAACAUGUGUGGGAAUUGACUAGCUCUAGUAAUUUUAGUGACCUAAAGAUAAUAAGUUACAAAAGUUGUGUUAAAUUCUCAUGACCAUUCUUACGUGAAAGGUUCUCUAAUUAUAUGUUAUGCAUUCAACCUAAAAGCAUUUAGAUGAUGAUCUGAUUGGACUCUUUGAUUUUUCUCAUUUAUGAUUUUGUAGUAUUUUAUUUAUCCAAUUUAUUCUAAUUAAGUUAUAUUGUUUAAAUAUUUAAUUACUCUUUUUUGUGCAAAUAACAAAAUGGCCACCAUUGAGAUUUUGACUAAGUCAAACUUCAAGAAAUGGAAAAGCAAUGUGGAGUUUGCCAUUAUGAAAAUAGACAUAGAUCUAGUUAUGAAAGUAAAUAAAUAUGCAAAACCUAAUACUUAAAGUUUUAAGAAUUAUAAAAAAGCCUCUGAGGCAUGGGAGAGAUUUGGAAAAUUGUAUCUACUUUUUGGAGGUCUGUUCCUAUACACCCAUUAAGAGGACUUUUUGAUACCACUAAUGUAAAGGAGUUUUUAAUCACAAUAACACUUAGGAUUAAAGUGUCAACAAAUAUUGAAAUUAACACUUUUUUUAAAGGACGUUAAUCCAUGAGUUAUUAUGGAAUAAGAAGAAUUUAGGGAGUACAUCAUUAUGACAGUCUACUAAACAUAAUACUCCUAAACAAGUUAAGAUAAAAAGGAAAAACUCGAUCAAUUUGUUAGUGUAAGGAAUUUAAAAGUUGUAACUUCAAUGUUUAUAUUGCAAGAAAAUGGGACUUAAGAAAUAAGAAUGUUUGAAAUAUAAAACUUGACUAAAGAAACUUGAGCAUGAAGGUAACUCCUUGAUUCUUGUUAUACAUGAAUCCAACUUAAUUGAAAGCCUUCUCUAGUUUUUAAUAGCUAGAAAAUGAUACAACUAAUCAAUUUGCUUUAUAAGGAUUCAUAAACAAGAAGAAACCAAAUAAGAAAGAGUUUAAACUCCUGGUUGGCAACAAUAUAGACAUGGAAGUUAAGCUUGCAGAACCAAUUUGCUGAAUUUAAGUACUAGUAGUACACUUUGAUUGAAAAACACUUUUUAUAUAUGUACCAUCAUUUAGAUGGAGUUUAAAUUUUGUUUUUGCAUUACUACUGGUUAUAUUUUUGAAAUAAAGAAUUAAAUUAUUAAGAUAUUAACAAGUGUUCUUGCUUUUCCAAUGUUAUUUGUCACACGAAUUAUAUAGAAUGUGUUUAAUUCCUACUAAAUAUUUUUGUCACUUUAUAUAAUGUUGAAAGAGUUGUCACAUGGAUUCAUGUCUUUUUACAUGCCAACUUGAGUAGAUCUUUUUGGCAAGAUAUUUGUCCAUGGAUGUUUAUUUCUUUACAUUCUUGGCUAGUUGGUCUCAACUUUUGGGGUCAUUUUCUUUUAAGAGCAAAGCAUAUGGGAGUUUUUUAUUAUACUUGCAUGAGUGUUAGUUAGGUUCUUUACACAAUCGGAAUAGAAGCUUACAUGAUCAAACACAUAGUUUAGUGAGAAAUGGAGGAAGCAAUAAGGCAUGUGCAAACUUCAUCAACUAUUCCUAUCAUUGGAAUCCUUUUACCCUUAAGAGGCGGUUGGUAUGUGGAGAGUGAAUCACUUUACAGGGAUUUUAAUUAAUGGGAAGGACUUUGCACCGUUUGGUAUGUGAAGUUGUUGGGAAUGUAACUUUACAUUGGUAUCAAAUUGAACCCAUGAGAAGGAAAGUGAUUCCCUUUUGAAUUGGAAGGAAUGUUACUUUCCCUUGAUUGAGGGAAAGUAAAUUGGACCAAAAUGACAAAAAUGUUGGGAUGAGCCUUGCAGCCAAUUGGGAUUGGUUAAGGCUUGAUUCCAAUCAUGCAACAGUAUCAUUCAUAUUGAAUGAUUAGAGGUUUUCCUUCAUCAAUAAGACAUCAAUUAUAAUGAGUUAUAAGUCUAAUUGGAUGAAGUCCAUGAGAUUAAUAUACCUUGCAAGGAAACUAUAAUGGGUUGCAGUUAUAAGAUUCUUAUGCAUAAAGCAUAAUCUCAAAAUGUUCGUGGUCAAUGUAUCAUUGAGACUGGGCAUCAAUGAUGCUUAGAGAUUGGUAUGUUCUAUGUUCCUUACUUUGGAAGAAAGCAAUCGAUCUCAAGAUUGAAGUAUAGAGAUACUUGGAACUAGAAUAUAGGUGCUUGCCUAGGAGAGCAAUUUCAUUGAACAUGACCCGCCAUGAGAAGUGUAUUUGGUAAUACACUCUAGUGUUUAUGCAACACUUCUCAUGUAUCAGUUGUGUAAAUACUCCCUAGACUUGAGACACCAGGUUGUUUUAUGUGUGGAGUGUUAUGCUUUGAUUCAUCCCCAUGGGUGCCUAACCAAGGAUGCAAAAUAGGAUUUUUUUGGGUAUAGUAUGAAGCAUGUGAAGGUAAAUGAGUGUUCAAGAUAAAAAUCAUCACCUCAAGUGUGUUAGAGGACAUAUCCUAUUAGUUCUUAGUUAACAUUAGCUUAUUGAAGUCCUUGGCCAAGGCGACAUGGAGAUUAUGAAAAAGGAUUCAUAACUUUCUAUAAAGCUAAUGCUAUAAUUGCAGGAACAAAUAUGGAGGUCAAAAAGAGUAGACACUGUACCAAGCUCUUAUCAUCUCCGGGAUAUAUGAUGAAGGAAUGAAUUACACUAAUAUACUGUACACUGAAAGGUUGUCAAAGAACCCUUUGACUCUCCCAACAAUUGGGUGGCCAUAAUGCAUUGCUAGAUGCCAAUCUUGGUCUAUGGAAAUGAUAUAAAUUAAUUGAUUGAAAUUUAUAUUAAUCAAUUAAGUCAUUAAUCAAUUCCAUUGCCAACAUGUUGGGAACCUAAUGGGUCACACACAAUGAUUGUAUUUGAAUUAAAUUGAGAGAGUUAUGAUUUAAGUUAGACUUAAAUCACAUGCUAAGUAAUCAACUUCUAUAAACUUAAUUAAACUCUUUUAAUUAAGUUUUAGGCAUAAUUAUAAAUAACUAUAAUUAUAAGCCCUUGAUUGCAAAAUAUAAAGGAAAUUAAUUUUGAUUUUAAUUUUCAAGGACUUAAUUAAAAGAGUUUAAUUAAGUAAUGGGCCCAAUAUUAUAAUGUGUUAUAAUAUUGAGGGCUUAAUUGCAAAAUUGAAGUUAUUUUAACCUAACUAUAUAAGUCACCUUUUAACUAUUUUCAUAUGAGAGUUUUUCACAAUUGAAGAAAACGAGUUUUUGUCAGAAAAGAAAAACAUUUUCUUCUUUGCCACCACUCCCUUUGUGUGAAAGAGAAAUUUGCUUAUGAAGCAAUUUUUAAGAAAGGUUUGGCUAAGAUUGUGAAAAAGAAGAAAAGGGCAAUUGUUGUCCUUUUUGCUAGCACAAAAUAUAGUUAAAAACUCCUUCCUUUGUUGAAGGUUCAAGUGCAAUCGUGUGUACUACCAUUGGAGGCCAAGCACUUGAUUGGCUAGGGUUUUUGCUCCUUGUGGUGUUCGCGGGAUUGCUUCGGAAAGUGCCAUCGUGAUUACAAAAUUACAUGGCAAGGUAACUUUCUAAAUAAUAAUUUAUUUUGUGCUUUUAUGUGUUAAAUAUCACCAAGGUGAUCCAUGGGUGGAGGCAUGUCUUGAUUGUUUAGUUAUAAAUUUUAAUUUUCUUUCCACUGCGUAUUUUGAGCAUGCCGUUCAUAGCCAUCCCAUCAAAAAAGCCCCACAAGCUGAACUUUUUCGAGAAGAGAAGGGGCACCAUUUGAAUCUAGUGAUGGGAGCAAGGACGAAGGAGAAAGAAAAAGGACGAAAAGAAGAAGAACCCAUCACUAGAGUGCAAGGAGGAAUGAGAGAAAAAAAAAGAAAAAAAAAGGAAGAAGAGCCCAUCACUAGAGAGUAAUAAGGAAUGAGAGAAGAAAAAGAAAAAAAAAAGGAAAAGUCCAUUAGAAAGGACGAUGGGUGCAAGAAGAAAUAAGAGAAAAAAAUGAAAGAAAGAAAAAAAAAAGAAAAGGGUGGAUUGUGUGGCAAUUUAACUAAUUAAUUAAUAUUUUUAUAAAAUAAUUUAAAUUAAUGAAUUUAAUUCUUUAAAAUUUAAUUAAUUUAUUAAAAAUAAAUAUUUAAUAAUUUUACUUUUUUAAUAUUAAAUAAUUAGUAUUAAAAUAUUAUGUUUUUAUACAAUUAUUUAUUAUUUUAAGAAAUAAAGUUGAAAAAAUAAAAAAAAUUCAUUAAAAAAGAAUAUAGGUUAUUCAAAUGUAUAUUUUCAUACAUAAGGAUAAUUUUGUAAAUUUAUCCUACAUUCCCAGUAAAGUGCUUCUAAACCAAACACUACAAUGUAAUCACAUUUUUAACAAUCAUCACUUUCCCAUGUUAUACCAAACGCUACAAAAUUAUCUUCCCAGCAAUAAUAUUCCCAGCAAUCACAUACCUAGUAAUCACACUUCUAGUAAAAUACCAAACACAACCUUAAUGUCUUCAAUGUUAAUGUGGAUGCUGCUUUUUUUGGAAAGGAUGAGUCUAUUAGUUUGCUAAUGCUGGUGCUUGGCUUUGGUGGUAAUAUUUAGCUAUAUGCUCUGCAAGAAUUUCCCAUUCAAUAGACUUUCUCAUGUACAGAUGCGUGCUACCUUGUUAAGCUUAAAGUUGGCCUAUCAUCAUGAUUCUAGUUAGUGGUAAAUUCAAGAUUUUACAUGGGAUAGCUAAAAGUUAUUCAUAUAAGAUCAUAAAUCAAGUCAAUAAUUUGAUUCGAAAUAAAAAAUGAAUUACUUUUAAAAUAAAAUUAAAUUAUAAAAUAAAAUUUCAUAACAAUGUAAAUAUAAGUUUUCAAAUUUACCAAUAUAAAUAGACAUAAAACAAAAAAAAAUUAAAUUGUCACAUUAGGUAUCGUAAGUGUUGGCUCUAUUAGUUUUUGAUGAUAAUAAAACAUUCUCAUUCAUUUGUGUUUAAUAUUUCUACUUGAGUGUGCAGGACAAGAAUUGUAUGCCAAUGAUAAAUAAAUUAUUCCAAGAGACAUAUAAAAAAUUAUAUGUAUAAGAAGCCACAAUUAAUCAACAAAAUAAAAGCUCCUUAGUUGAAUAAUAAAGGAUUAGUUAGCUAAAAUUUAAAUAAGAAGUUGGCGGGUUCAAGAGUAUUGAGAAACAUAAACGACUUAGUCAACCAAGAAAUAGGUUAGUCGACUAAGAGUCUACUACCAGAAAUCUGGACUUCAAGACAAAACCAACUUAAUCCACUAAGAAGAAAGUUAGUUGACUAAGUGCUCACUACCAGAAGCAAAGAACAGAAGACAAAAAUAACUUAGUUGACUAAGAUAUCUGUAGUCAACUAAGAGCAUUUCGCCAGAAAAUUUGAAUUGUGCACUAGAAGACAGAUUAACAGCUAGAAUUGCAACAAAACUGUUUCCAACUGUUAAAAACCGCCUAACACCUAUUAGAGUUGAUUUUCCAAGUAUUUAAGAGGAUUCCAACAGCUAGAAAUGUAAUUAAGGCUUCCAAGUCCAAAAGAGCUAAAAAAAACCAGCAAAUACUCUCUGCUCAUUUACUGCACUCAACUUCUAUCUUUGUAAUUGUGAUAUGCACUUCACUUUGUACCACUUAGAUCAGCCUUGUGAUCAUAGGAACACUCUUAUCACUUCUCUCCUUGUAUUCUUAGAGUGAGCGGGUCACUCUAAGGGAUUGAUUUAAGCUAGGAUUGCUUGAUUAAGUAUAGGUUCUAACUUAGCCUUGAAAAGUUAAGUGUUGAGUUUUAUUUGAUCUUGGUAAAAACUAUUGUGAAAGGUUUUGGCUAAGCCUGGUAAAAGCCAUUGUAAAAGCUCGGUGAAAGCUUGUAAAUUUCACCAUUCUUAAUAGAUUGAUUGGAAAAUCCUUAGUUGAACAAUCAAGGUAGUGGAUGUAGGUCUUAGACUGAACCACUAUAAAUAUUUAUGUAUUAUCUCUACUAUUUUAGUUUGUCAUUCAUCUUUAAAUUUCUCUUUUAUCUUGCUUUGGUCCUCAAUUUGAAAGUAACCUUUGUAAAGAGCCAAGAAAGUGUUAUUCACCCCCCUCUAGCACAUUCAUUUGGGACCAACAAGUGGUUUCAGAGCAAGUUCCCUGUUCUUAAGGUCUAACACCAUUUGGGAAAAUCCAAAUGGCUCUUCAAAAAUCAACAGUGGCUGAGGGAUAAUCAAUAAAUAGACCACUUCUAUUUGAUGGCUCAAAUUACCCAUAUUGGAGUAUUAGGAUGUCAAUAUAUAUUAGAGCAAUAGAUUAUGAGAUGUGGGAUGCCAUAACUGAUGGUCCCUUUAUUCCUUCAACCUUAAAUGUUGCAACCAACGAGAUGAUUCCUAAACCAAGGUCUGAAUGGACCGAAGCUGAAACUAAAAAAGUCUAAACAAACUUUAAGGCAAUCAAUACACUGCAUUGUGCUUUAAAUCCCACUGAAUUCAAUAAAGUGUCAAGCUAUACCACAGCUAAACAAGUGUAGGAUAAACUUAGGAUUAUUCAUGAAGGGACUUCACAAGUUAAGGAGUCCAAGAUAGCCCUCUUAACCCACAAUUAUGAGAUGUUUAAAAUGGAACCUGGUGAAGAUAUCACUAGCAUGUUCGAUAGAUUCACAAACAUCAUAAACAAAUUAACUCAGCUAGGCAAACCAAUUCCUAAGCAUGAAAUCAUUAAAAGACUUCUUAGAAGCCUACCAAAAAAUUGGAAGCCAAAAGUGACUAUUAUCCGUGAAGCUAAGGACUUAAAUGUUAUAACUCUAGAUGAAAUUUGUUGUUCUCUUCUUACUCACGAGCUGAAAAUCAAGGAAGAGGAAAAUGAAGACAAAAGAGAAGCAAAGGAAAAGAAGAAAAAUAUUGCCUUAAAAGCCAGUAUCCUUGAAGAAGAAUUGGAUAGUCUAUCUUGUGAUGAUGAUGAAGAGCUGGCUAUGGUUACAAGAAGGUUCAGAAAACCUAUGGGCCAAAGAAACCGAAGAUUGGCUAGAAUAGGGUAUAAAAGAUAACAUGGCUCUUCAUGGAAAACCAAAAAUAAAAAUGAGUCCAAUAAGAAGGAAGAGCUUAUAUGCUUUGAAUACAAGAAGCCAGGACAUUUCAAGUCUGAUUGCCCCAUGCUAAAGGAGGAAACUCCAAAGAAAAAUAGAAAAUCAAAGAAGGCAAUGGUGGCUGCUACUUGGUCAGAUAAUGAUACUUCAAGUUCUGAUGAUGAAGAAGAAAAGGUGGAAGAAAGAGCUAAUCUGUGUCUGAUGGCAAGGGAUGAUGAAUCUGAGGUAUCUUCAUCCCCUUGAGAUAUUUCAAUUGAUGAAUUACAAGAGGAGUAUGAAUGUCUUUAUGAUGAAUUUGAAAAACUUGCAUCAAAAUACAAAACUUUGAAACGAAAAACUGCAUCACUUGAAACUGAUUUGCAAAAGAUAAAACAUGACGUGAAUUCUGUUUUUGAGUAAAAAAAUUUCUCCAAAUUGAAAUAGAGCAUUCAAAAAUAGAUUUUGAAACUCUAAAAUUUGAAUUGGAAAACAAAAUAAAAGCCUUGCAAAAGGCAGUUAAAGAAAAUGCUGAUCUUAAAAGUUUGAAGAAAGAAACAUCAAAGAGGAGCAUAUACUUUAAGAAAAAUUCUGAUAAUGCCUCAUCUAGAUGUUACAAUUGUGGAAAAUUUGGACAUUUAUCUUAUGACUUCUAUAGAGAUAGAAGCAUACAGAAAACAAGAAAAAUUUGGGUUCCAAAAAGAUCCUAUAUUGCAGCUAACCUUCAAGGACCCAUCAAAAUGUGGGUACCUUUUAAGAAAAACUAAAAAUCCGUUUCGUAGGUUGAGUUGAAUCUAAAAGACACAUGUUCAAGAGCUCAACUAAAGAAGAAGGAACCAUGGUUUAUGGAUAGUGGUUGCUCAAAGCACAUGACUGGAAACGAAAUGUCGUUUACUCAGCUGGACAAGAAAAAGAGAGGUACCAUUUUCUUUAGUGAUGAUUCAAAAGGUAGAAUUUAUGGUAUUAGAACCAUUGGUAAGAACUCUCAAGCUCGAAUUAGUCAUGUGUUGCUGGUUAAAGGUUUGAAACACAAUUUAUUGAGUAUCAGCCAACUAUGUGAUAAAGGUUUAAGGUAUGCUUUGACUCAAAAAAAUGUGAAGUGAUAGAUAUAAGUACUAAUUGUUAGCUUUAAAUUAUUAUAGUUUUGAUUAUGACAAAAUGAUCAAAUUUGCUUGAACAUUAUUUGAGUAAUCUUUGACAAUUUCUUGAAAUGAUUUAACUCCCAUAUAUUUGUUCUUACAUAGACACAAGCUUAACUCUUGAAGUUAUUGAACUAUAUCUAUAAGCUUGUAUGACUUAGGUAUAUUAGUGCUUAUGAUUCUCAUUCAUUAAAGUUUGAUUUAAAGAUUAAAAGAAAAUCUUGAUGCACUCAUUAAGGAGGAGUUUUGAAUGUCUUGUUUAAUGAUGAAAAAGAAAAAGUAGAGAAAGAAGACUAAAUCAAAUAAAGUUAAAUAGGUCUUCAUGUUUAAUUUAUGUGUGUAAUACUCAAUUUUGGUUUUGUUGAAUAUUAUGUAAAGAAAAAUAGAUGCAUUGACUAAGGGGGAGCACUUCAUUAUGCAUAAAGAUUUGAAGCAUUCAUAUUGAACAUAGACAUUGCACUCUUAAUCUAUGAGUGUUUUGUCAUCAUAAAAAAUAAGAGAUAGAGAAUGUUGACUCUAUAUGUUUUUUAUGAUAGCAAAAUAUUCCCUUUCAUAGAUGUCUAAUUAUAUUGUUUAAGUGUGCAGGACAAAAAAUAUAUGCCAAGAAUAAAUCAAUCAUUCAAAGACACAUAUCAAAAAUCAUAUGAAUAAGGAGCCCCAAUUGAUCAAUAAAACAGAAGCCUUUUAGUUGGAUAAUGAAGGGUAUUAGUCAGCUAUAAUUUAAAUUAGAAGUUGGUGGGGUCAAAAGGACUAAGAGACAGAGAAGACUUAGUCAACCAAAAAGUAAGUUAGUCGACUAAAAGCCUACUGCUAGAAAUUUAGACUUCAAGACAGAAACAACUUAAUCGACUAAAAAGGAAGUUAGUCGACUAAAAGCUCACUGCCAAAAACUAGGUUCAGAAAACAAAGACAACUUAGUCAACUAAAAGCGUAGUUAGUCGACUAAGAUCACUCUGUCAAAAAAUUUGAAUUGAAUACUAGAAGACAAAAUAACAGCUAGAAACAGCUAGAUUCUGUCUUCAACGGCCAGAAUUGAUUUUGCAAGUAUUUAAAGCCUCUCCAAUAGUCAAAAAGAAGAGACAGAAACCAUCCAUAGUGAUUUGAGCUUAGAAGACCAAAAACCUUCUCUUUACACUUGUAUUUCACUUCCAUCCUUUGAAAAAGUGUUUGAGCUUAGCUUUGUACAUCUUAGAUCAGCUAGGUAAUCAAUUGUACUUAAUCUUUUCUUCAUUUCUCGAUUACUUAGAGGUUACGUUUGGUUGGCAAAAUAGACAAGAAUGGAAUAGAGUAGUUAUUAUGUGGUAAUAGAAUGAGGUGAGAAUAGAAUAGAAUAGUUAUUGCUUAGUUUGGUACGACAAAGAGAAUAGGACAAGAAUAAUUAUUAUGACUUAUUGUAGUGUUUGGUUGGUAAUAAUAAUUUUGGAACAAGAAAGGAAUAAAAAAUAAAAAGAUAAAAACACCCUUUAUUAUUUAUAUGACUAUUUAUUUUUAUUAGAUUUUUUAAAUAUUAAAAAUCUAGAAUUUAAUUAAAACAUUAAUAAUUAGUAAUUUAAAUAUUAAUAUUUUCUUUUCUUUUUUUUUAAAUAUUAAUAAUUGAUAAUUUAAAAAUUAAUAUUUUAUUCAUAAUUUAAUUAUUUAUAUUUUAAAAUGUUAAUAUUUUAUUUAAUUAAAAUAUUAUUAUGAUCAAUUAUUUUAUUUUAUUUUAUUUUUAAGAAUCAAUAAUUGAUUAUUUAUUUAAAAUAUUAAUAAUAGAUCAUUUAAAUAUUAAUAUUUUAUUAAUAAUUUAAUCAUUAAUAUUUUAUUUAAUUUAAAUGUUAUUAUUAAUUUUUAUUUUAUUUUAUUUUUUAAAUAUUAAUAGUUGGUAAUUUAUUUAAAAUUUUAAUAAUUGAUUAUUUAUUUAUUAAUAUUUUUUUAUAAUUUAAAUGAUAUUAUGCUUAUUUAUUUUUAUUUUAUUUUAUUUUUAAAUAAGAAUAAUUUAUAAUUUAUUUUAUUAAUAAUUGAUAAUUUAAAUAUUAAUAUUUAACUUAUAAUUUAAUAUUAAUAUUUUAAAAUGUUACUAUUUUAUUAAAAGUUGGAAUCAAAGGAGAGAAAGAGGAGAGAGAGAAAAAUAAUAUUUUAUACAAAUAAAGUUGUAAUUUUUUAAAGGGGUAUUUUUGUCUUUAUUAUUUUUUGAGUUUAUUCCUCAACCAUGGAAUAGCUAAUACCAUGAGGGAGGGUGGCAUUAGCUAUUCCUUAGUUUUAGAGGAUUUUGAAGAAUAACCAUUCCUAUGGAAUGGCUAUUCCUUGGACUAUUUUUCAACUAAAUAGAGGAAUCAAAAUUCCUUGGGAAUAAAAAGGGAAUGGCUUAGCCAUUCCCCCAACCAAACAUGCUAAGAGUGUGCAAGGCAUUCUAAGGGAUUUACUCAAGCUUGGAUUGCUUGAUUGAGUGUAUAGGUUCUAACUUAGCCUUGAAAAGUUAGUUGUUGGGUUUUGGUUGAUCUCGUGAAAAACCAUUAUUGUAGGUUGUGGUUGAGCCUUUGAAAAAUCACUUUAGGUUUUGGUUGAGCCCGUGAAAAACCAUUGUGAAAGGUUGUGGUUGAGCCUUUGAAAAAUCACUUUGGGUUUUGGUUGAUCCCGGUAAAAACCAUUGUGAAAGGUUUUUGCUAAGCUUGGUAAAAGCCAUUGUAAAGCUUGGUGAAAGCUUAUGAAUUUCACCGUUCUUAGUGGAUUGAUUGGAAAAUCCUUUGUUGAACAAUCAAGAUAGUGGAUGUAGGUCUUGGAUCGAACCACUCUAAAUUCUGCUGUGUUAUCUACUCUGUUUUUGUUCUUAUUUUCAUUCCUUCUUUUCACUUGCAUUUGUUCUCACUUAGAGCUAAUUUUUGAAAGAGUCAAAUUGUGCUAUUCACCCCACUCUAGCACAUUUACUUGGGACCAACAAGUGGUAUCAAAGCCUAACUCUCAUUUUUAAAGCUUAACAUCUUUAGGGGAGAUCCAAAUGGCUCUAGAAAAAUCUGUUGAUGCUGAGGGUCAAUGCAUUAAUAUGCCUCUUCUAUUUGAUAGAUCAAACUAUCAUUAUUAGAGUACUAGUAUGUCCAUUUAUAUUAAGGCUUAUGACUAUGAGAUAUGAGAUAUCAUUAGCGAUGGUCUUUUCAUUCCUAUGAUUACAAAUUCGGUAAAUGGUGAGAAAACUCCCAAAGAUAGAAAUAAGUGGACUAAAACUGAAAUGAGAAGAGUACAAAUGAACUCUAAAGCCAUGCACACUCUCAUUUGUGCACUUGAUUAUAGAGAAUAUGAUAAAGUGUUCAUGUGCAAAAGUGCCAAGGAAAUUUGGCAAAAAUUAAAAGAGUUAUAUGGAGAAACAAAGAUGCAAAAGGAAUUAGAAGACAACUCUUAUGAGAAUCAAUGCUCAACAAGCAACAUGGCAAAUGCAAAUAAGGAAUCAAGUGAAGAUGAAUCCUCAAAUCAAAUUGAAUUACGCCUCAUGGCUCUUAAAGAGAUAAAGGUAAGUUCUUCAUCUUGUGAACUUAAUUCAUAUGCUUUUGAUGAAUUGCAUGAUGUUUUUGAUGAAUUGCAUGAUGCUUUUAAAGAUUUAGCAUUUGAGUUUGAGAAAAUGAAUAUGAAGCACAAGAAAAUUAUUUCCAUACUCGAUGUUGAGAAUGAAUUUUUUAUGAAAGCAAAAAUUGACUUGGAAAAAGAAAAUGAAAAUUUGGAAAAGGAUUUUGAAGCUUACGAAAAGAAAAUUGAUAUUUUGGAAAAAGGAAAUUUGAAGAUUUAUUAAAUGAGAAAAAAAAAAGGCUUGCAUGAAUUCCUCAUCUUCCAAAAUGACAAAAUGCAAUCAUUGCACAUUUUUUCGUUAUUAUUCAUAAACUUGUCCAAUUAAAAAUAUUUACCUUAUAAAUUUAGACAAGUGUGGGUUCCAAAAGGAACUUUAUGCAACAAAACUAACUUUCAAGGAUCCAAAGUAAUUUAGAUACCAAAAAUCAAAUGAAAAAUGUCUUUUGUGGGUGUGCUAGAGCAAGAAGGAACAACUCUUGAAGAAUGAAUGCUCUCAAAUCACACAUAAAGGAAAAUGGGUGAUUUUUAUGCUAAAAUUUUUUUAAAUGAGAAUCUUGAUUGCUUAUUUAUUGAAUGUUUCAUUCAUUUGGCUUGGUUUCUAAAAUUGUUUCCUUUUCUACAUUGAAAAUUUUGGUUGCCUAUUCUUGCUUGAAUAUUAAGUGCAUAAUUCCUUGAGCUUUAUUGAUAAAUCUUGGCUAUGCAACUUGAUUUGAUAUGAUACAUGCUAUAAGUUGCAAGGAAGUAUGAAUCUAAAGAUGGAGUAUGUACUUAUAUUUGAUCUUGAAUAUAUCAUCAUCCUUAUUUUGAGAAAAUAGUUUUAUUAAGAUUUCUUGAUUAUGGAAAAUUUGUUUCUAUAAAAUUUCCUCAUAUUUUGUGAAAUUAUUUCCAUACUACUUCUUUAAGGAAAAAUGAUUUUUGAGCAUAGUUUUGAAACAUAAAGGUUGGAUAAUGUGAUAGAAAUAUGAGCAUACUUGAUGACUUACACUCACACUUAUUCAAGUAGCCUAAAACGAAGAAAAUUGAGUUAAAAAAAUUGUCCUUGAUUUCCUUGUGGCUAACAUAAGUUGACCAUUUGAACAAUCUUGAUUUACAUUCUAGAACUUGCUUGAUUAGUUCAAGAUGGUUGACAAUGAGCUUGAAAAUUUUGACUACCUUAAUUGGUACUUUUAAAGCAAAAUGAGCUUAUAUGAGAAAAAUGUUGCCAUCCUUAAGUUUAUAAUGAUUUAUCAAUUGGAUAAGUUUGUUUCAUGAUGAAAGUACUUAUUGACUUGUUCUUAUUGGAUGUGCAUGCUCGCUUGUAAGCUUGAAUGGUCAUAAGGGCAUUUUUGGUACAUGAUUGUGAGAUAUUUGCAAAUGACCCUUGAUAUAAUACCUCAUACUUUGAUAUGGUGACUAAUAAAGCUUAUUGGAUGCCAAUUGAGGGUAAUUAUGAUGUUUAGAAAUGAUGAAAGAUGAAAGGAAUAGUUUGGGAUAAAAUAUUCCGCACACGAGAAAAUAAUAAUAAAAUAAUGAUAUUUUUAUCAAAAAAAAUUUGCAAGAUAAAAAGUGAUUCGGAAGUCAAUUGACGCAUAAUAAGGUAUUUUGGGUACCAAAGGGACAAGAGGAGACAAGAGGAAAUUUUUAAAAUAAAAUAAUAUUAAAAUAUUAUUAUUUUAUUCAGUGUCAAAAUUUUUCAUGAAGAAAGAGUAUAUGGUCAAUCUAAGUGGGGGAGAAGAAGAAUGAAAGAAAUUUCGAAGAAAAAUUACGUUAAUGGGGCCUACGUGUAUUCAUUAAAUAAAGAUAGCACGAGGUAAAUAAUAUUUUAAAUAUUAUGGGAACACCGCGUUGGGGUACAAACUUUAUAUUUCAUUUGUACAUAUGUAAAAGAAGAUAAUAGAAGAAAAUUGGAGAUUUAAAGAUUUUGGGAUGACUUAAUUAAAAGGAUGAGAACCUUGAAGGGUAAAAUAGUAAUUUUGUUACAAAGCUUGGUCAAAGCUUCUAAAGGAAGCUUUGACUCUUCUUUUUGUUCCUCAUGGCCGGCCAUCCAUGUAAGAAUUGCUGAAAAUGUAAGGCUUAUGUACAAAGAACGUAAAAGACAAAGAAAAUGAGGAGAAAAGAUGAGACAAUAGUGAAAUAGGGAGGAAAAGUCAAGUAAAGUGGCUUUAAAGGUUCCAAGCAAUUGUUGACUUGCAUUCUAACCACAUAGCGGGUCAAGGAAGACAAUAAAAGAAGAAUGAAUGAUGGUAUGGGCAGUCACAUGUGAAAGAAAUGAAAGAAAUAGAGAAUUUACAAGCAAGCUUUGUCAUUGUCGACCCCACUUGCAAACCAAAUCAAACAAAGUUUUAUCAAUUUCUUUUGUUACCAACCGGUUAUGGAGACUAGUUAUGGAGACAAAAGAGAGAGUCAAGUUAUUAGUAUUUUAUUUUAAAUCAUGUGUGAAAGUAAGGGGGGCCAACCAUUGAGAUGAAAGGCCAUAUAAAAGAAAAGAAAUGAAUGAAAAAUGAAAAAUGAAAAAUAGAAAAGAUAAGAAAGAAAUGAAAUGAAAAGUUAAGUCGGUUAAGUGAAGAAGAAAAAGGAAAGAGAGAAGUCGGUUGUGAGGGAGAGCAAAAGAAAAGAAAAAGAACAAAGGAAAGAAAAAAGAGAGAAAUAGUCGAGAGAGAGAAAAAGAAAGAAGAGAAAAGCCAAAUGGUGAGGAAGAAAAAAAAAAAAAAGAAAAGGAAGGGUGAAGAAGCUGAGUUGAGGAGACGGUUUUUCUGCCAUUUAGGGAAGAAAGAAGUAGUUGUGGCUGCUUAUUUUUGGAGGAAGAAUAGAGCAGCUUGGUUGCUGAUUCUGAGGUGGAUAUGAGCAGCUUUGGCUAUUGAAAAUUUUUGGUUGAAAGAAGCAAGAACUUGUUACCGGCGGUGAGAGGGAGAGAGAAGAGGAAAUUGUGGCCAGCUUGUGCAUGUAAGAAAGGAAAAAGAAAGACAAGUAGAGUGCUACUGACCGACGGGAGAGAGGAGAAAGAGAAAGAAAGAAAGGAACGAGAAAGGAAUAAAAGAAAAGAAAAAAAAAUAUGGGCAUAGCCCUAUAAGAAAAGAGUGGGCAUGGCCCAAUAGGAAGAAAUUGGAAGAGCCCAUGGAAAGGGCCCAAUGGAAAUAAGAAAAGAAAAGUCCAAAAUAGAAAAGGAGGAUUGAGACUUGGGCCAUCUAGCCCAAUUUAGAAGUGCUUAAGUGAAGAUAGUGCACUAUAGUUGCGUGCUAGAGGAAAUGACGAGCGACCGGCAAGUAGAAAUAGCGAUGUAAUACCCCGCUAUUGUGAGGUGAGUAGGGGGUGUAAAUUUUAAAAUUUUCGUAAAUAUGUACCUAUACGUAUGAUUUAUUUUAAACGUGAAAAUUUUGAAUAGCAUGUGCUGGUAACAAUCUUAGGAAAUUGUGAUUGCAAAUUAUGUUUAGAAGUCGUCUCGAAUAUAUAUAUAUAUGUAUAAAUUAUAUGUAAAGUAUUUUGAAAAUCGAGAAACAAGCCCUUCACACUGUUUUACCUUAAAAUCUGUGCCUUAUAUUUGUGCAGUGUGCAUUUAUGAUUAUAUUGUUUACUCACCAUGCAAAUCACUAUUUGAAAUUCAUGCAUAAAUUUUAUUUUGAGAAAAUGAUAGAUUUUAUAAGACCCAAUAUUUGACGUUUUGAAAAUAAUUCGGCAUGAAUUUUCAAGGACGCAAUGUAAAUUUUUUUAAAAAUGUUUUGGACAAAUCGAGAGCAUCGAGAGUAGGCCGAAUGUCACAUCAAUUAAGUGUGACCCUCGUGCACGAGUGAGCUCUAGCUAGAGAACCAUUGGGUCACUGACGGGCGGUUAGGCGUGGUUGGGGCCACGGCUUGUGAUAUAUGUAUGCAUGGCUAAGCCACCAGAUGAUUACACGAUUACGACCGCUUGAUAUCUCCGAUGUUGGCCAAUAUCGUUGAGAUCGCCAUGGCAUAUGGGAAUCCGGUGGAAGCGAUGCUUCCGGAUGUUAUUACGUGGUAGCGGGACCAUGAGUUUAUUUUCAUUCCCUACUCGAGAGUGGCAUCUCUGGGUUUUUAAACUCAUAUUUCUUUGCAUGGUGAAAGCAAAAUUUAACGGUUUUUCUGUAGCUCCCCUAUUUUAUGGUGAAAUGAAUUUUAACUCCUCGAGUGCGAGGUGAUUUAUGAUUUACGUAUGAGUUUGAUUAACAUUCAAUUUCAUGGGAGCUUGCCGAACAUAUUGAUUUGAUUUGAGUAAAAUGUCAAUUGAUAUUGACGAUGAAAUUUUCUUUAUGUAAAAUUGUUUUAAUUCAAUAUUUCAAAUGAUUGUCUUGAAUAAGGUUAUUUGUGAGACCUCAACCUCUAUAGGCCUGUAACUAAGUAUAGAUGUAAUAAUACGAGCCAGGGGUAGUUUCGUUAUUUUCUCUAAUAAGCUUUUAGAAAAAAGUUUUAUGAUAUUUUAAGUCUUAAAUGGGUAUAAGACUGCAUAAAUGAUGUGUGCUGAUGAAAACACGAAGAAAACUAGAAGUUUCAACAAUUUUCAUAACAGGGGCAAAGUGGUCAUUUUUUACCUUGGGUUAAAAUUUUACGUUUUUAUGAACCCGAACAUGUCUAGACCCUUAUGGAUCUUGUCCCAGUGUUAAAAGAGCAAAAAGAUUGCAUAAAAGAUUGGAGGAGAAUAAAAUAAUUGGUGGAAGGGUAAAUUGGUAAUUUUAUGAGAAAAGAUAAGAUUGCCUAUAAAUACCUUGAAUUUCCAGCAGCUUCUUGAAUUUUCCAGCAGCUGGUCUUCUUCUUCCCUUCUCCUCUCUCACGUUUCUUUAAACUCCAUGGAAGCUUGAUUUUCAAACUUCCACAACUUUCUCUCUCUAGCUCCAAUUUUCAUGCUUUUGGUGCACCCUUCCAUAAACCCUCGUGCUAUUUCAUCUCCUUACUUUAAAAAUCUUGAAAUAUCUUGUUUUCAUACUUUCUCUCACUAUUUGGAAAUUCUAGAGUGAGAAAGAGAGAAUCACUCUAUUGAUUUGGAAGCUAUUGGAAGAGAAUCCAACUACAAAGGAACCCUAAGGUGAGUGAUGCACCAAGUUUGAUUUUUAGCUGCAGAAAAUGGCUAGUAAUUGUGAUUUAUGAGUUGUUUUAUUGUUUAGUAUGUUUAUUACUUUUUAGUGAUUAAGAUAGUGAACAUAGAUAGCCAUUUAAAGUGGCAAUUGAAAACUAGCUAAGAGAUAGCUUUUAGAGUUCAUAGUGUGUAAGUUGAUCUAUUGCUUAUGUUAAUGUGAUCCUAGGUUUUUAAGGAAGCACCAUCAUUCCAAUUGGAUCAUUAGGGGAAUUUGAGUCAACUAAAAGUUCUACAAUCAAUUGGUGACUGGACUACCUUUAAAACUGAUUUUGGGAAUAUGAUGGAUUUGACAAAGUGUUUGAAUGAUUUUAUAAAAUUUUUCAUGAAAAUGAAUGCCUUGGGAACAAGCUUUUGAGAAAACGUUUAUGUUAUGAAAUGUGAUUAUUAUGGAUUUCUAUGUGGCUGUAUUAUGUUGAUAUACAUAUAUGCUUGAGUAUAAUGUUGUGUAAUUAUAUUGACUCGGCUAUGUGCGAGUAGGGAGUGCGCAUAACCCAGUGAUGACCUAGCCAUGUGCGAGUAAGGAGUGCGCAUGAGCUGGUGAUGAUGAUGAUGGGUAUAUAUGUGUAUAUAUAUAUAUAUAUAUAUAUAGUNAUUGUUUGCUUUUCUACAUUGAAAAUUUUAGUUGUCUAUUCUUGCUUGAAUAUUAAGUGCAUAAUUCUUUGAGCUUUAUUGAUCAAUCUUGGCUAUACAACUUGAUUUGAUAUGAUACAUGCUAUAAGUUGCAAGAAAGUAUGAAUCUAAAGAUUGAGUAUGUACUUAUAUUUGAUCUUGAAUAUGUCAUCAUCCUUAUUUUGAGAAAAUUGUUUUAUUAAGAUUGAUUGAUUAUGGAAAAUUGUUUCUAUAAAAUUUCCUCAUGAUUUAUGACAUUGUUUACAUACUACUUCUUUGAGGAAAAAUGAUUUUUGAGCAUAAUUUUGAAACAUAAAUGGUUGGAUGAUAGAAAUUUGAGCAUACUUGAUGACUUACACUCACAACUAUUUAAGUAGCCUAAAACAAGGAAAAUUAAGUUAAAAAAAAAAUUUCCUUGUGUCUAGCAUAAGUUGACCAUUUGAACAAUCUUGAUCUACAUUCUAGAACUUAUUUGAAUAGUUCAAGAUGGUUGAUAAUGAGCUUGAAAGUUUUGACUACUUGAAUUGGUACUUUUAAAGCAAAAUGAGCUUAUAUCAAAAAAUGUUGCCAUCCUUUAAGUUUAGAAUGAUAUAUGAAUUGAACAAGUUUGUUUCAUAAUGAAAAAUACUUAUGACUUGUUCUUAUUGGAUGUGCAUGUUCGCUUGUAAGCUUGAAUGGUCAUAAGAGCAUUUUUGGUACAUGAUUGUGAGAUAUUUGCAAAUGACCCUUGACAUGUAUAUACAUGAUUCAUUAUGCCUAUUACUUAUUUCAUAAAUCAUUUAGAGCAUAAUUUAACAAAAUUGAGUGACAUUGAGCUCAUGAUUUUUCACAAAGCAAGUCUAAUCUUGAAUGUUUCAAGUUAAAAGUUUGUAAAGAAAGAUUAAAUCUUUAUCAAUUGAUUUUCUUGCAAAAUCUGUUUAUUCUCUUUGAUUGAAAUUGAUUCAUUGUUUUUGAUGAUAUAGCAUGGUUAAGCAAAAUUGAUUUGAUACAUGAAUUGCAUAAAUCCCAUUUUGCUUGAUAUUUCUCUCAUGAUUAGUGAAAUUGAUUGAAAGGGAUUUCUUAAGCAUGAUUUUGAGUGUGAUAAUUUGGCAUUGAUGGCAUUUUUCAAGCAAAGGAACAAAUCUUCUUGUAAAGCUUGAGGCUAUAAUGAUUUCAAUGAUAUAAAACUUGAACAAGUGUGCUUUUUGUUGAAAAUGCCAUUAUAUCUUGUUCUUGUUGCAAAUGAGUGCUUGAAUAACCAUAAGGGCUUUUUGGUCUAUACAUUGAAAAAUUGAUGAAAAUGUUAAACUUGAUGCUUAUUAUGCCUAACAUUGUUUAAAUACUUGUUGAACAUGUUAUAAGUCAUAGUCACGCAUCAUGAUGUAAAUUGAAUAUGUUUGAGCAUAUUAGAGACAUGAUUCUUCAAAUGAGCAUUUCAACUUUUUAGCACUUGUGAACAAUGAGCAAUAAAAGCUAAAAUUUGAGUUCACAUGUUUUUCUUGAAGAAUCUUUGAUCAUAUAUGUCCAAAAAGAUGUUCCAAACAUGGUUGAAAUGAAAUUCUAAAUUGUUCUCACACAAAUCCAUGUUUUAACAUCAUUAUGCCUCGGAACAUUGCAUGUUUUGCACCUUUUUCUAGCUUUUCAAUAUGCAGGAAUCAAGCAUAAUUGACUCCCUAACAUAGCUAGUAGACUAUUGUAGAACAAAAUGCAAACAAUGCUGCUAGAAUGAUCAAAAGUGGACCUAAGGGAUAUGUAAUCGACUCUUGAGUGCUCUAAAGCCAAAAUGGACAAGUUUUAUGUUCCAAAAUAUUUUUUUACUUUACUUCUUGUCCAUUGCAAUAUUUUCUUCCCUGAAUUUCCUUUUCAAAAAUGAUUCUUGACUCUUAAAAACAUGCAUUAUAAAUAUUUUCAUGAUAAUUUGGUGCAAUUACAUGUUUUUGAAAUUGCUAAACUUGCUGAAAAAUGGGAAAACUUUCUUGAUUGCUUAAAUCUAUCUACUGCCUGUUAGCUUCAAAAUUAUUCUAGUUUUGAUUAUGACAAAAUGAUGAAAUUUGCUUGAAUAUUAUUUGAGUAAUCCUUGACAAUUUCUUGAAAUGAUUUAACUCCCAUACAUUUGUUCCUACAUAGAUACAAGCUUGACUCUCGAAGUUAUUAAACUAUAUCUAUACACUUGUAUGACUUAGGUGUAUGAGUCAUAUGAUUCCUAUUCAUUAAAGUCUAAUUUAAAGAUCAAAGGAAAAUCUAGAUGCACUCAUUAAGGGGGAGUUUUGAAUAUCUUGUUUAAUGAUGAAAAAGAAAAAGGAGAGAAGGAAGACUAAAUAAAAUAGAGUUAAAUAGAUUUUCAUGUUUAAUUUAUGUGUGUGAUGCUUAGUUAUGAUUUUGUUGAAUAUUAUGUGAAGAAAAGUAGAUGCAUUGACUAAGGGGGAGCACCUCAUUAUGCAUAAAGAUUUGAAGCAUUCAACAUUGCAUUCUUAAUCUUGGAAUGUUUGUCAUCAUCAAAAAUAAAAGAUAGAGAAUGUUGACUCUAUAUGUUUUUUAUGAUAGCAAAAUAUUCCCAUUCAUUUGUGUCUAAUGGCUUUACUUGAGUGUGCAAGAAAAUUCAUAUAUGAAAUUAUUUAUUUAACUCUUCAAAGAGUAUAUCAAAAGAAAAAGAGGGAUGAAAAUAACAAAAUGUAACUGUCUAACAAGGAGGAAGCUUGUAAAACCCAACCCUAUAAAUACAUGUCAUGACAUACAUGCAUUGAGUAGCAUGUUAUUAUGUUAGAAAAGCACCUAAGAAUAGACGAAACUCGAUAUUGUACCUAACGGUACACUUAAAUUGAUUUAACCUCGAACUAGUUCAAAUAGGAAUUGUAGGAUAAAAUUUAAUAUUUUAUAGUCCAGGAAUGACUAAAAAUGAUUGUUCGGAGUCCGAGGGUUCAUUUGGGGUAAAAUUAGAAAUUUUGAUAUUCAAGGGCAAAAUCGUCAUUUUGCCACCUAAGAUAAUAAUUUGAUCAUGGAGUGAAAUUUUUGAACAAGAUUAACUAUUUGGAGUAUAAUUUAAUGAUAGGAAGUGAAAAAGUUUAAUUCUUGUGAUUUUUGGAGUGUAGGGGCAAAAUCGUAAUUUUGCCACCCACGGACAAAAUUUGAGAUUUUGAGAGAAUUUAGAUCAAAUUUGACAAAUUGGAGAAUGGUAUGAGUAUAAGGGAUGAAAAAUAUGUCUAUGGGCAAUUUUUCAAUUUUUGGGGCAAAAAUGUAAUUUUUGACUUUUACGGGGGCAAAAGUGUAAAUUUCAAAAAUUACUCCACCGAGACUUUGGAUGAGUCUGAGAAUUUUAUCUAAGCUAUGAAUAUAUGAGACAAGUGUAUGGUGAAAAUUUGGAAACAAAUGGAUGAAAUUUUAAAAAUGGGCCAAUGGGAAAGUGACACGUGGCAUUUUUUAAUGAAAUAAUAUUAUUUUAAUGAAAAGUCAGCCAUUUAAACCCAAAUUUUGAGUGCUGGCCGGCCAUAAGGAAGAAAAAGAGAGGAAAUAGAGAGGAAAGGAAGAAAAAAAGAAAAACCAAAGAGAAACAAGAAAAUUCAAAGGGAAAUUCGCGGUUUUCGACCGUUUACGCGUCUAACGGUAAGAUUUUUCGAUUUUAGCUUGAUUUCUACCUUUCCUAUGCCUUUAUUUCCAUUUAGCAUGCUUGAGGAGAGAGAUCAAAAAGUGAUAUCAAGGGCUGGACGAAAUUCUAGGGGAGAGAAAUUGAAAUUUUUAGGUUUUGAUUUUUAGUUAAAUUGAUAGUUUUAGUUAGUUAAAUGUGUUUAGAAAUUAAAUUGGGCAAGAAAUCAUUAAAUUUUCACAAUACCCACUCUUGGCUGGAUGCUCAAUGCUGUACAAUGAUGAUGAAUUGAUUUUAUUCUAAGGAAAAUGAAGAGAAAAUGAUGAAAAACGAUUAAACGUGAUAGAAAAACAAAGUAGAAAAUUAACCGAGUUAAUGUCCCAUUUUUGGCCGAAUUUUCCAAGGAAGGGAGUGAGCUGAUUUUGUUGUUUUUAGAAGGUUAUUGGCUGAUAUUUAAUGGUUAGAAAUGUUGGAGAGAGAAUGGGAUGAUUUAGAGCUAAAAUGGAGCGCGUUAGCAAUUUAUCGGGCAAAGUGCCAAAAAUAGGUUAAUACCGCGUUUAAGCCGUUUUAGGCUAUUGCAUUUCAUACCAUGCAUUAGUAUAGGAUUUAAGUUAAUUAUAUAGUGAUUUAGCAUCAAUGUGAUGAAUUGUGUAAAUUUUUGUAAUGUGUCUAGGAGGAGAGCCUUCCGGAAAAGGCAAAGAAGUCGUACCCGACGAGUAGUGAUCGGGGCGCUUAGAAAGCUUUUAGUUUGUACAAACGGUGAGUAAACUUAUUAUUAUUGUAAAUUAUCUAGAGUUUAUUUUUAAAUGCCCUUUAUGUAUUUUAUGAAAUGAAAACGAGAUUAAAACGGGAUUUUUGAUGUUUUAGGAAUAAAUGUGACAAAUAAAAAUAUAUUGUAUUGAUUAUGAAAUUGAGUAAUUGGAGGCUGCAAAUUGACUUGAAAAAUAUAUAUUUUCCUAGGAAUGGCUUAUGAGAAAUGAGUAUAUGUGGCUAUAUUUUGUGAGUGCAUUGGGAAAUUUAUGUAAGUUGUUUUUACUAUGCAGGCUGGAUAAAUAAAUAAAAGCCACGUUAUACUGUCGAAAUUUUAUUAAAAUUGGUGGGUUAGUCACUGCAGUGACGGGUUUCCGUGGACUGCCUAUUAGAGGGGCACGGUAAACCCAGUUAUAUAGUUACUCCGGUUGUAGAGGCGAGGAGGGUAACUCCCGGGGUAGUAUUAGAGCUCACUUCACGUCGAACCCCCACGUGAAUGUGUAACUCGGCCAACGCCAAGGAACGGCUGGUUUUAAAAAUAAAAAUGUGUUUCACGUGUGAAUAUUUUAACACCCUUGGCGGACUCGGUUAGAUGCCUCGGCCAAGGUAUCCCCGAGGAUUAGUUUUGGCUUGAGCCUUGUUUUAAUAAAAGACAUAAGCCUUAACAACUGUUUUGGUAAAUUACAAAUAUUUUAUGGUUUAAGAAAUAAAUUGAAAACAUUAUGAAAUGGGUUGAAAUUUGUUGUUUAAACUUGCCUCCAUUUUACUCGCCUUUAGAUAUUUAUGAUAAUGUCUGUUUACUCAUUGGGAUUGCAAAAUCUCACCCAACUCCUUUCCACCCAUUUCAGGUUCAGUAUAGACUGUAGAUAGCUGAUCUCAUCGAGGACUACCAUUGGAUCUGCAUUUUCCAAACCGUAGGUUCACAGUCCUCUUUACUUUUGUUUAUUCGGGGGCCCUCUUGUUAUUGUAAAUUAAAUUAAAUAUUUUGGCUUACUGUAUUUCAGUAUGUAUAAAUAUAUUUAGCUUUUACGCUAUAAAAAUUAUUCACGUAUAACUCUAUAAAUAUUGUUUUAUAAGAAAAUAGAAUAUUUUUCUUAAUAUUUCUUUUAUUUUCUUAUUAUAUUCAAAUAAUCGUAAUUUCGUUUUAAAUGAAGAUUUUAGACUUUUAAACUCAUUUUGAAUAUGAAUUAUGUGUUUUGUACUUGUAUAUUACGUUUUAGCCAGUUUCGAAAUUUUUGAAAAAAAAAUGACCAAAAUACCCCUAUGUGGCGAAAAUUUUAUUUUGAUUGUUUUUGAUCUAAAAUAGUAUAUAUUCUAUAAAAACUCGAUAUUUAACAAUGUUGCUCACAAGAAAGGAAAGAAACUGAUAUGUAAGCCUUGCGGGGUUCCGGUUGGCAUUCCGGAUAAUGAGUGUUAAUCGGGACGUCGCGGUGAUUGUCAUGGGCUUGAGGGAGGUUCCGGGUCAUGACAAUUCUAUUGGUAUCAGAGCUUUUGGUUUUAAAGAUAAGAGUUUUUGGUUUUAAAGUGGUUUUCAAAAAUUACAAUAUCAGUGUGGCCUCGGAUUAAGUUAAGUUAGGUUGAAUAGAAUGCAUGCAUUUUCAUAUAGAGCCUAAGGUUCCCUAAGCUUGCUCGUUUUCUCUUAUAAAUUAUUAUGCCUCCUCGACGCGGACGCCCACCUCUCACUAGAUCGGUUGGGAGGGGAAAAGGUCGUUCCCAAUGUCGUCAGCUAGAUGCAGUAGGGGAAGAAUCGGCUGCCUCUACCAUUCGGGCAGCACCUACUGCUGAGCAGGCCGAUAGUCCUCCACAUCCUCCACCUCCUCCGCCACCUACGGGUAUUCCCACCAUGCCUACUGAGGCAGCACAAGCAUUAGCAGCUUUCUUUACCGCAAUGGCUGGUGGAGCUCCGACUGGUCAAGUUCCACCUAUAGUACCACCAGUUACUCCUUUAGUUUCACCACCGGUACAAGAUGUAUCCAUUUCCAAGAAGCUAAAGGAGGCUAGACAGCUUGGUUGUGUGUCUUUCACGAGUGAGUUGGAUGCCACUGUGGCAAAGGACUGGAUUAAUCAGGUUUCAGAGACUCUCUCUGAUAUGAGAUUAGACGAUGACAUGAAGCUGAUGGUGGCUACAAGAUUAUUAGAGAAGAGGGCUCGUACUUGGUGGAAUUCAGUGAAGUCCCGUUCCAUUACUCCUCAAACGUGGCCCGAUUUUCUCAGGGAAUUUGAUGGUCAGUAUUUCACUUAUUUUCAUCAAAAAGAAAAGAAGAGAGAAUUUUUGAGUUUGAAACAGGGGAAUCUAACUGUAGAGGAGUACGAGACUCGUUUUAACGAGUUAAUGUUAUAUGUGCCGGAUCUGGUGAAAUCUGAGCAGGAUCAGGCCAGUUAUUUCGAGGAAAGGCUCCGUAAUGAGAUUAGAGAGCGGAUGACAGUGACUGGUAGGGAGCCACAUAAGGAGGUGGUACAGAUGGCUUUACGAGCUGAGAAGCUCGCGACUGAGAAUAGAAGGAUUCGAACUGAGUUUGCAAAAAGGAGGAAUCCUGGUAUGUCUUCUAGUCAGCCAGUAAAAAGAAGCAAGGACUCAGCGAUUUCAGGGAGUACUACUUCUGUUUUCGUGACAUCUCAUCGACCUUCAUUUCCACCAUCACAACAGAGACCUUCGAGGUUUAGCAGAUCUGCUAUAACUGGUUCUGGGAAGAGUUUCGGAGGUUCUGACAUAUGCAAAAAUUGUGGGAAUUAUCAUAGUGGGCUAUGUAGAGGGCCAACAAGAUGUUUCCAAUGUGGACAGACGGGUCAUAUUAGGAGUAAUUGCCCACGGUUAGGACGAGCCACGGUAGUUGCAUCAUCUUCACCAGCUCGCACUGAUAUACAGAUGAGAGAUUCUUCUGGGUUGCCACCGAGACAGGGACUGGCCAUACGGUCCGGUGUGGAGAGUAAUACCCCGACACAUCCACCUUCGAGACCAUAGACUCGUACCUCGACAAGAGUUUUUACUGUGACGGAAGAUGAGUCACGGGUCCGACCUGGAACAGUGACAAGUACUAUGUCUUUAUUUGAUAAAGAUGCUUAUGUUUUGAUAGAUUCUGGCUCAGAUAGGUCUUAUGUGAGCACCACAUUUGCAUCAAUUGCUGAUAGAAACUUGUCACCAUUAGAGGAAGAAAUUGUAAUUCACACCCCUUUAGGAGAAAAGCUAGUUAGAAACAGUUGUUAUAGAGAUUGUGGGGUAAGGGUAGGCGAGGAAGAAUUUAGGGGUGACUUAAUUCCUCUAGAGAUCCUGGAUUUUGAUCUAAUAUUAGGUAUGGACUGGUUAACUGCACAUCGGGCGAACGUGGAUUGUUUCUGAAAAGAAGUUGUUCUUCGAAAUUCGGAGGGAGCAGAGAUUGUGUUUGUAGGGAAACGUCGAGUAUUACCAUCUUGUGUAAUUUCGGCCAUCAAAGCUUCGAAAUUAGUGCAGAAAAGGUAUCCGGCUUAUUUGGCAUACGUAAUUGAUACUUCAAAGGGGGAACCUCAGUUAGAGGAUGUCCCAAUAGUAAGUGAGUUUUCUGAUGUAUUUCCUGAUGAUUUACCGAGACUGCCUCCUGAUCGAGAGCUUGAGUUCCCUAUUGAUUUACUUUCGGGUAUCGCACCUAUUUCUAUCCUUCCAUAUAGAAUGGCUCCGACAGAGUUGAAGGAGUUGAAAGUACAAUUGCAAGAGUUGGUGGACAAGGGUUUUAUACGCCCUAGUAUAUCUCCGUGGGGAGCACCGAUUUUAUUUGUGAAAAAGAAAGACGGUACACUUCGGUUAUGUAUCGAUUACCGACAGCUUAACAGAAUGACCAUUAAGAACAAGUAUCCGUUACCGAGGAUUGAUGAUCUUUUCGAUCAAUUACAGGGAGCUACAGUGUUUUCCAAGGUUGAUCUAAGGUCUGGGUAUCAUCAGUUGAGGAUUAAAGAACAGGAUGUACCCAAGACAGCGUUCAGGACUCGGUACGGUCAUUAUGAGUUCUUGGUCAUGCCUUUCGGGUUAACUAACGCACCGGCAGCUUUUAUGGAUCUCAUGAAUAGGGUGUUCCACCCUUACUUGGACAAGUUUGUUAUUGUGUUCAUUGAUGACAUACUGGUUUACUCGAGAGAUAAUGAUGAGCACGCUGCCCACUUGCGUAUAGUAUUACAAACUUUGAGGGAAAGACAGUUGUAUGCAAAGUUUUCGAAGUGUGAGUUUUGGUUACAGGAAGUGGUAUUCUUGGGACACGUAGUAUCGAGAACUGGAAUAUAUGUUGAUCCUAAGAAAGUAGAGGCAAUUUUACAAUGGGAGCAACCUAAGACAGUGACGGAGAUUCGUAGUUUCCUCGGAUUAGCCGGUUAUUAUCGGAGGUUUGUUCAGGGGUUUUCCUUAAUAGCAGCUCCUUUGACCCGUCUAACUCGUAAGGGAGUUAAGUUUGUGUGGGAUGAUGUUUGUGAGAAUCGAUUUCAGGAGCUAAAGAACCGGUUAACCUCCGCUCCCGUUUUAACACUUCCUGUUAAUGGUAAGGGAUUUGUAGUAUAUAGUGAUGCCUCAAAGUUGGGGUUGGGGUGCGUAUUGAUGCAGGAUGAAAAAGUUGUGGCUUAUGCUUCUAGACAGCUAAAGAGGCAUGAAGCAAAUUACCCUACCCAUGAUUUAGAGUUAGCAGCAGUGGUGUUUGCUUUAAAAAUCUGGAGGCAUUACUUGUAUGGUGAGCAUUGUCGGAUAUUUACGGAUCACAAGAGUUUAAAAUAUUUGCUCACCCAAAAGGAGCUUAAUUUGAGGCAAAGGCGAUGGUUGGAGUUGAUAAAAGAUUAUGACUUGGUGAUAGACUAUCAUCCGGGAAAGGCGAACGUUGUAGCUGAUGCCUUAAGUCGUAAGUCUUCAUCGUCUUUAGCAGCACUUCAGAGUUGUUAUUUUCCAGCAUUAAUAGAGAUGAAAUCUCUUGGGGUCCAGUUGAGAAAUGGUGAGGAUGGAUCCUUAUUGGCAAACUUCAUUGUGCGACCUUCGUUACUUAAUCAGAUCAAGGACAUUCAGAGGUCUGAUGAUGAGUUAAGAAAAGAAAUUCAAAAACUGACCGAUGGGGGAGUCAGUGAGUUCAGAUUUGGAGAGGAUAACGUCUUGAUGUUUAAAGAUCGAGUUUGUGUUCCUGAGGGAAACCAGUUGAGACAAGCGAUCAUGGAAGAAGCCCAUUCAUCUGCCUAUGCAUUACAUCCCGGAAGCACCAAGAUGUAUAGGACUAUCAGGGAGAAUUAUUGGUGGCCGGGUAUGAAGCGAGACGUAGCAGAAUUCGUAGCAAAGUGUCUCGUAUGUCAGCAAGUUAAGGCGGAGCAUCAGAGGCCAGCAGGUACACUUCAGUCUUUACCUGUUCCCGAGUGGAAAUGGGAGCAUGUAACUAUGGAUUUUGUUUUGGGAUUGCCGCGGACACAGAGGGGAAAGGAUGCGAUUUGGGUGAUCGUAGAUCGGUUGACUAAGUCCGCUCACUUUUUAGCUGUCCAUAGUACAUACUCUAUUGAGAAGCUGGCUCAGCUCUAUAUAGAUGAGAUUGUGAGGCUACAUGGAGUUCCCGUUUCUAUAGUGUCAGACCGAGAUCCUCGAUUCACUUCUCGAUUCUGGCCAAAAUUUCAAGAAGCUCUCGGAACCAAAUUGAAAUUUAGCACUGCUUUUCACCCACAGACGGAUGGUCAGUCAGAGAGGACUAUCCAGACCUUGGAGGAUAUGUUACGGGCUUGUGUCAUUGACUUUAUUGGGAGUUGGGACAGACAUUUGCCAUUGGUGGAAUUUGCUUACAACAAUAGCUUUCAGUCUAGCAUUGGUAUGGCACCAUACGAAGCUUUAUAUGGAAGGAAAUGUCGUACUCCACUUUGUUGGGAUGAAGUGGGUGAAAGAAAGUUAGUGAGUGUGGAAUUGAUCGAGCUAACUAAUGACAAGAUCAAGGUUAUACGAGAGAGGCUAAAGGUAGCCCAGGAUAGGCAGAAGAGCUAUGCAGAUAAACGGAGAAAAGACUUGGAGUUUGAGAUCGAUGAUAAAGUUUUUCUUAAGGUUUCUCCUUGGAAAGGUAAUAAUUUGAAUACUUUGAAGUAUUAAAUCUUAUUGAUUAUACUAUCAUGAUAAAUUAUGGUGUUUUAUUGGAUAAUGAAAGGUGUGAUUCGAUUUGCGAAGAGGGGAAAGCUCAACCCGAGAUAUAUUGGACCAUUCCGAAUCAUUGAAAGGAUUGGACCAGUGGCUUAUCGGUUAGAAUUACCUCCGGAGUUAGAUCGGAUCCACAACGUUUUCCAUGUCUCCAUGCUUAAGAAAUAUGUACCAGAUCCCUCUCACGUCCUCGAAGCACCUCCGAUCGAGUUGCAUGACGAUUUGAAGUUCGAGGUACAACCUGUGAGUAUCUUGGAUCGAAAGGAUCGAGUACUGAGAAACAAGAGUAUUUCAAUGGUCAAAGUGUUGUGGAAAAGUGCUCGAAUGGAGGAAAUGACAUGGGAAGUAGAGCAUCAGAUGAGGAACCAAUACCCGCAUCUAUUUGUCGAAUCUGGUAAGUGAAAUUUUGAGGUCAAAAUUUUAUUUUAAGGGGGGUAGAAUUGUAAAACCCGACCCUAUAAAUACAUGUCAUGACAUACAUGCAUUGAGUAGCAUGUUAUUACGCUAGAAAAGCACCUAAGAAUAGACGAAACCUGAUAUUGUACCUAACGGUACACUUAAAUUGAUUUAACCUCGAACUAGUUCAAAUAGGAAUUGUAGGAUGAAAUUUAAUAUUUUAUAGUCCAGGAAUGACUAAAAAUGAUUGUUCGGAGUUCGAGGGUUCAUUUGGGGUAAAAUUAGAAAUUUUGAUAUUCAAGGGCAAAAUCGUCAUUUUGCCACCUAAGAUAAUAAUUUGAUCAUGGAGUGAAAUUUUUGACCAAGAUUAACUAUUUGGAGUAUAAUUUAAUGAUAGGAAGUGAAAAAGUUUAAUUCUGGUGAUUUUUGGAGUGUAGGGGCAAAAUCGUAAUUUUGCCACCCACGGACAAAAUUUGAGAUUUUGAGAGAAUUUAGAUCAAAUUUGACAAAUUGGAGAAUGGUAUGAGUAUAAGGGAUGAAAAAUAUGUCUAUGGGCAAUUUUUCAAUUUUUGGGGCAAAAAUGUAAUUUUUGACUUUUACGGGGGCAAAAGUGUAAAUUUCAAAAAUUACUCCACCGAGACUUUGGAUGAGUCUGAGAAUUUUAUCUAAGCUAUGAAUAUAUGAGACAAGUGUAUGGUGAAAAUUUGGAAACAAAUGGAUGAAAUUUUAAAAAUGGGCCAAUGGGAAAGUGACACGUGGCAUUUUUUAAUGAAAUAAUAUUAUUUUAAUGAAAAGUCAGCCAUUUAAACCCAAAUUUUGAGUGCUGGCCGGCCAUAAGGAAGAAAAAGAGAGGAAAUAGAGAGGAAAGGAAGAAAAAAAGAAAAACCAAAGAGAAACAAGAAAAUUCAAAGGGAAAUUCGCGGUUUUCGACCGUUUACGCGUCUAACGGUAAGAUUUUUCGAUUUUAGCUUGAUUUCUACCUUUCCUAUGCCUUUAUUUCCAUUUAGCAUGCUUGAGGAGAGAGAUCAAAAAGUGAUAUCAAGGGCUGGACGAAAUUCUAGGGGAGAGAAAUUGAAAUUUUUAGGUUUUGAUUUUUAGUUAAAUUGAUAGUUUUAGUUAGUUAAAUGUGUUUAGAAAUUAAAUUGGGCAAGAAAUCAUUAAAUUUUCACAAUACCCACUCUUGGCUGGAUGCUCAAUGCUGUACAAUGAUGAUGAAUUGAUUUUAUUCUAAGGAAAAUGAAGAGAAAAUGAUGAAAAACGAUUAAACGUGAUAGAAAAACAAAGUAGAAAAUUAACCGAGUUAAUGUCCCAUUUUUGGCCGAAUUUUCCAAGGAAGGGAGUGAGCUGAUUUUGUUGUUUUUAGAAGGUUAUUGGCUGAUAUUUAAUGGUUAGAAAUGUUGGAGAGAGAAUGGGAUGAUUUAGAGCUAAAAUGGAGCGCGUUAGCAAUUUAUCGGGCAAAGUGCCAAAAAUAGGUUAAUACCGCGUUUAAGCCGUUUUAGGCUAUUGCAUUUCAUACCAUGCAUUAGUAUAGGAUUUAAGUUAAUUAUAUAGUGAUUUAGCAUCAAUGUGAUGAAUUGUGUAAAUUUUUGUAAUGUGUCUAGGAGGAGAGCCUUCCGGAAAAGGCAAAGAAGUCGUACCCGACGAGUAGUGAUCGGGGCGCUUAGAAAGCUUUUAGUUUGUACAAACGGUGAGUAAACUUAUUAUUAUUGUAAAUUAUCUAGAGUUUAUUUUUAAAUGCCCUUUAUGUAUUUUAUGAAAUGAAAACGAGAUUAAAACGGGAUUUUUGAUGUUUUAGGAAUAAAUGUGACAAAUAAAAAUAUAUUGUAUUGAUUAUGAAAUUGAGUAAUUGGAGGCUACAAAUUGACUUGAAAAAUAUAUAUUUUCCUAGGAAUGGCUUAUGAGAAAUGAGUAUAUGUGGCUAUAUUUUGUGAAUGCAUUGGGAAAUUUAUGUAAGUUGUUUUACUAUGCAGGCUGGAUAAAUAAAUAAAAGCCACGUUAUACUGUCGAAAUUUUAUUAAAAUUGGUGGGUUAGUCACUGCAGUGACGGGUUUCCGUGGACUGCCUAUUAGAGGGGCACGGUAAACCCAGUUAUAUAGUUACUCCGGUUGUAGAGGCGAGGAGGGUAACUCCUGGGGUAGUAUUAGAGCUCACUUCACGUCGAACCCCCACGUGAAUGUGUAACUCGGCCAACGCCAAGGAACGGCUGGUUUUAAAAAUAAAAAUGUGUUUCACGUGUGAAUAUUUUAACACCCUUGGCGGACUCGGUUAGAUGCCUCGGCCAAGGUAUCCCCGAGGAUUAGUUUUGGCUUGAGCCUUGUUUUAAUAAAAGACAUAAGCCUUAACAACUGUUUUGGUAAAUUACAAAUAUUUUAUGGUUUAAGAAAUAAAUUGAAAACAUUAUGAAAUGGGUUGAAAUUUGUUGUUUAAACUUGCCUCCAUUUUACUCGCCUUUAGAUAUUUAUGAUAAUGUCUGUUUACUCAUUGGGAUUGCAAAAUCUCACCCAACUCCUUUCCACCCAUUUCAGGUUCAGUAUAGACUGUAGAUAGCUGAUCUCAUCGAGGACUACCAUUGGAUCUGCAUUUUCCAAACCGUAGGUUCACAGUCCUCUUUACUUUUGUUUAUUCGGGGGCCCUCUUGUUAUUGUAAAUUAAAUUAAAUAUUUUGGCUUACUGUAUUUCAGUAUGUAUAAAUUUAUUUAGCUUUUACGCUAUAAAAA
This 33051-nucleotide long non-coding RNA is filed under the name Theobroma cacao (cacao). RNAcentral's name for it is "long non-coding RNA (TCAC_LNC003386)". The record is from RNAcentral. Lineage: Eukaryota; Viridiplantae; Streptophyta; Magnoliopsida; Malvales; Malvaceae.